GACGGUACCUGAAGAAAAAGCAUCGGCUAACUCCGUGCCAGCAGCCGCGGUAAUACGAAGGAUGCAAGUGUUAUCCGGAAUCAUUGGGCGUAAAGGGUCCGCAGGUGGCCAAUCAAGUCGGCUGUUAAAGACCGGGGCUUAACUCCGGGCAGGCAGUGGAAACUGAUUAGCUAGAGUACGGUAGGGGUAGAGGGAAUUCCCAGUGUAGCGGUGAAAUGCGUAGAUAUUGGGAAGAACACCGGUGGCGAAAGCGCUCUACUAGGCCGAAACUGACACUGAGGGACGAAAGCUAGGGUAGCGAAAGGGAUUAGAUACCCCUGUAGUCUUAGCUGUAAACGAUGGAUACUAGGUGUAGCUCGUAUCGACCCCAGCUGUGCCGAAGCUAACGCGAUAAGUAUCCCGCUUGGGGAGUACGCACGCAAGUGUGAAACUCAAAGGAAUUGACGGGGGCCCGCACAAGCGGUGGAGUAUGUGGUUUAAUUCGAUGCAACGCGAAGAACCUUACCAGGGCUUGACAUGUCGCGAAUCUAGCGGAAACGUUAGAGUGCCUUAGGGAAUGCGAACACAGGUGGUGCAUGGCUGUCGUCAGCUCGUGUCGUGAGAUGUUGGGUUAAGUCCCGCAACGAGCGCAACCCUCGUCCUUAGUUGCCAAUAUUAAGUUAGGCACUCUAGGGAUACUGCCGGGGACAACCCGGAGGAAGGUGGGGAUGACGUCAAGUCAGCAUGCCCCUUACGUCCUGGGCGACACACGUACUACAAUGGUUGGGACAAAGGGCAGCAAGCUCGCGAGAGUAAGCGAAUCUCAUCAAACCCAGCCACAGUUCAGAUUGCAGGCUGCAACUCGCCUGCAUGAAGUAGGAAUCGCUAGUAAUCGCAGGUCAGCAUACUGCGGUGAAUUCGUUCCCGGGCCUUGUACACACCGCCCGUCACACCAUGGAAGCUGGCUACGCCCGAAGUCGUUACCCUAACCCUAAGGGGAGGGGGAUGCCGAAGGUAGAGCUAGUGACUGGGGUGAAGUCGUAACAAGGUAGCCGUACCUGAAGGUGUGGCUGGAUCACCUCCUUUACAGGGAGACCUAGUCUAAUUACCAAUAAAUAGAAAAGUUGGUAAUUUGCCAGAAUCCUUAGGUCGUGAAGGGGAGCAAGAAAAAACUUUCAAACUGUAAUGGGCGAGGGUCAAUGGGCUAUUAGCUCAGGUGGUUAGAGCGCACCCCUGAUAAGGGUGAGGUCCCUGGUUCAAGUCCAGGAUGGCCCACCUGAAAGAGACAGGCAGGAUGCCUGUGCCACAAAAAAAGGAAAAAGUUUUAGCAUUGUCUCUUGUAGAGCAAGAGAUAAUGCUGGAAUCUCUUCCAGCAAGAACC
Molecule: unclassified non-coding RNA, 1360 nt
Filed under: uncultured cyanobacterium
Lineage: Bacteria; Bacillati; Cyanobacteriota
Description: bacterial SSU rRNA
Rfam family: Bacterial small subunit ribosomal RNA (bases 1-1065)
Source: RNAcentral